This 730-nucleotide ribosomal RNA is filed under the name human oral metagenome. RNAcentral's name for it is "bacterial SSU rRNA". It matches the Rfam family "Bacterial small subunit ribosomal RNA", at positions 614 to 1531 of the family's 1533-position model. The record is from RNAcentral.
CCGUGUAUUGCAGUGGGUACGGGCAGACUAGAGUGCAGUAGGGGAGACUGGAAUUCCUGGUGUAGCGGUGGAAUGCGCAGAUAUCAGGAGGAACACCGAUGGCGAAGGCAGGUCUCUGGGCUGUAACUGACGCUGAGAAGCGAAAGCAUGGGGAGCGAACAGGAUUAGAUACCCUGGUAGUCCAUGCCGUAAACGUUGGGCACUAGGUGUGGGGGACAUUCCACGUUUUCCGCGCCGUAGCUAACGCAUUAAGUGCCCCGCCUGGGGAGUACGGCCGCAAGGCUAAAACUCAAAGAAAUUGACGGGGGCCCGCACAAGCGGCGGAGCAUGCGGAUUAAUUCGAUGCAACGCGAAGAACCUUACCAAGGCUUGACAUAUACUGGACCGCAUCAGAGAUGGUGUUUCCCUUCGGGGCUGGUAUACAGGUGGUGCAUGGUUGUCGUCAGCUCGUGUCGUGAGAUGUUGGGUUAAGUCCCGCAACGAGCGCAACCCUCGUUCUAUGUUGCCAGCACGUUAUGGUGUCGGAGUCGCUAGUAAUCGCAGAUCAGCAACGCUGCGGUGAAUACGUUCCCGGGCCUUGUACACACCGCCCGUCAAGUCACGAAAGUUGGUAACACCCAAAGCCGGUGGCCUAACCCUUUUGGGAGGGAGCCGUCUAAGGUGGGAUUGGCGAUUGGGACUAAGUCGUAACAAGGUAGCCGUACCGGAAGGUGCGGCUGGAUCACCUCCU